UCAUGUAAACAGUUGAAGUGUGUUGUGUUCCUGUAAUGUGGUUCAUUAAGUUCAUAAAACUGUGGCUGGUUGACAUUAAUUUAACGUUCUGGAAACUUAAAUGUGAUUAAAACAGUAACGUUAAUGUUCUAGUUGUCAGUAAUCAGCUUUAAUUUUACACUAAAACAGACUGAUAGUUUUAAAUGACAUCAGUUUCAUUAAUUUGUUGAAAAUUGUCUCAUUUGUUGUGAUUUUGCUGCUGAUUUAUUAAAAGCAGAUGAUCCGUGUUGAAGAUACGUUUAGUUCUAUUAUCAGAAGUACAAGAAGGAAAAUGGAAGUUUAGUUCUGCUACAUCAAAGAUUUCAGGAUUAAAAUAACUAAAUGAGUCUUUAUGCCUCAAACUUUAUUUUUACAAUAAAGGAAUAAUGAAAUAAUCACAGAUAAUAAAAAUAUAAAUAGCAGAGAAAACCUGAGAGAAUAAUUUCCUGAAAAGUCUGUGAAGGAAAAGCAGCUUUUUUAUUCUGAAAGAUCAGAAUCAGUUCCAACAUCUGCAUCAGACAGCAUCAAGUCAACCAGAAAGAAAAGAAAAAAGAAAAUGACUUCUUUCUGAUCGCAUCUGUUCCGCUGCUCACAGUCUGCUGCUGAUCACAUUCCUCACAUUUACAGUCCACUUUUAAAAGUUCAGCAGACAGGUGCUCUGCUUUGGAGUGUGACGAUGUCAUUGGUGAUGUGGAGAGUGAAGUUUCCGUUUCACCCACAGCGUGCUUUAGGGCAGCCGGGUCGGACUUGAUGUUUGAAAUACUGACCGACAGCUCAGAUUUAACUGUCUGUAGUUCUGUUUUGACUUUCACUCAAAACCGCCAGGAGCUGGGUCUUUAAAAUAACCGCCGUCUCGUUACAGAGUGAAAGUAGCAGUUCCUCCUUAAGGUCAGAGAUUGCAGCAUCUGAGGGCCUCUUCAAAAGAAGACGUAGUUGAUGAAGGCGUUCUGGAGCAGGACCAGAAAGACCACGACCAAGCAGCCUUGAGAUCUUAUGCAGCGUCUCCCUCAGGUCCCUCUCUAUCUCCCCACACAUCCACCAACCACUGGAACACAUCUCCAAAGUUCUGCCGGUCCAGCUCAGCUUCCCCUCAGAAGAAGUGCCGCCACCUGCCAGAUGAAGGAGCCUUUUGAGAGGCAGCUGACAUCGUGAUUGGACUGUACUUUGGUCUGUUCCAAUCCAGCUUCAGCUCCAGAGACGGCAGGCGGGACGAGUCAACGGAGGCCGGGUGGACGAAGGCAUGCAGCUGAGUACAAUCCAGAAAACAACAGAGGAGGAGCGCAAACAGAGUAGCAUGACCAAAGAACUACAGACUCUUCACAACCUGCUCAAACUCUUGGUACAGGACCUCACCACACGGGUCAAGAAGGUUUCCUGCUCAUUUCUACUUCAAAGCUCACCUUCUCCUGCUCAAACUGCUGACAAAUGUUUCUGCUUCUCUAAAGUCUGCUCUCCAGAACUUCCUAAAAACUCUCAGAGUCUCUUCUGCUGCAGGUUGCUUUGUAGAACUGUUCCAGAAAACCUCACUAAACCACAUGGAGGGGCCUCAAGAUAGUCGUCCAAAUGAAACCGUACAAAAACCAAACUAGCACAACCCAAACACUAAAGUCUCCUGCAGCCUACCAGAGAACCUCUGAGAACAGAGAAUCAGGACAGGAACUCUUACCUUCUGGACAACCAACGCUGGUUCACAAACAAGAAUACAGAAUGUGUCUGACCAAAAACCUCUAAAGACUCACUACAGCCAAGAUAAAGACACAACUCAGCUGUACCAAAUCCACUAAUCACUGCACACAUUAGCACCAUGUGCUAACUGUGGCUAAAGAACCACAUUUACCAAGACAACUAUCCAGUACAAAGCCCUGAAACACACCAAGAAACACAUUAAAGACAAUUUUACUGCUGGAAGCUGCAAGCCAACACCUAAAGAACAAACUAAAGCAAUGGAGCCGAACCCGGUUCAGUGGUGAAGCGAAGCAGAGGAAAUGUUUGUCUGCAGCUAAAUAAAGCAGGAAGACACUGAGCUGCUCAGGUGUUCCUGAUAACACCAAGCAGCCACCUGGACAGCCAAUAGGAACACAGCUUACUGGAAGUCCAGAGGGCUGGCUUAGUGAAGUAAAUUUAGUUUAAAGUUGAAGCAGAAAGUUAACAAAGAAAGUUGAAAACCACCUUCUGAUCCCUGAAAUCUCUGAGUUUUCACACAAAGAACACCUGAACAUGUCAAACUGGUUCCAUAGUAGAACCCUCAUUGUAAAAACGUCAUAGUAUGGUGUGUUGCUCAAAAAAACAUUAGGACCCGGCUGUCUAGGGUCGCCGAGGAGCAACACAAAAACAGGACAAACGCUGGUUUCCAGGGGGUUAGGAGGCUAUUUAUUUGAAAGAGUAAGUUUACAACAACACAACAUGUGAGCAAAAAAAUCACAAAGUCUGUCUUCAGCUGAAAAUAUUAGUUAUUUAUAUAUAUUUAUAUUAGUUUAUUGUCCAAACUUUUCAGGAAGUAGAUGAAGAAUAAUUAAAGCUCUCAUGUAGAAGUCCAACUUAUUUUGGAUCCUUGUGGAGAGUUUAAUCUUAGAGUUUGUAAAGCUGUUGAGUUUUUAGAGUCACAUGGAUUGUUUCGACAUUUAAUAACCGAGUCCUGAAAUAAAAUUACAGUUGUGGAUUUCUGUCAUUUAGUCUGGACUAAACAAAUAACAGCAGCAUAAAUCUCAAACGUCAUUAUGAGGAGUCUGGAUUGAGGUUUCUCACUUGAUAAUGAUCAAAACAUGAAAUUUAGGUUGGUUUAAAGGAAUAUUCCACCUUAAAUCUUUCAAUGUAGACCAAAAAAUCUUGGUGUAAAGGAGUAUUCCACCUUAAAUGUAGACCUAAAGGAUGGUUUGGAGUAAUAUUCUAUUCUAAAAUCUUCCAAUGUAGACCUAAAAGGUUUAUCUGAUGGACUAUUCAGGAACAUUUACGGUACUUAAAAGGUUGGUUUAAUGGUAUAUUCCCAGAAGAAUCCUUGAACAUUGGGCUUAAUGGUAUAUUCCACCCAAAAUACCAAGAAGUCAGUGUAAAGGAAACGUAGACCUAAAAGGAUUGUUUAAAGGAACAUUUAAACUGUUAUUUUCAUUAUUUAAUAAUCUGUUAUCAGUCAGAACCCUGGCAAACUUAUUUUCAUCAGUUUUUUUAGUGGAAGUCACAAAUAAAGGAGCUCUUGGUUUUUCCCAGC
Long non-coding RNA from Amphiprion ocellaris (clown anemonefish), 3223 nucleotides. RefSeq lists it as uncharacterized. The record is from RefSeq and is a predicted model, not a curated record. The transcript has 3 exons. NCBI's taxonomy places the organism in Eukaryota, Metazoa, Chordata, Actinopteri, Pomacentridae.